GCUACCCUCUUUAGUCUUUACAAGUCCAAUGCCAAUCCACAAACAAGCCUUAUUUUCACUGGGAUCCUUUGAGAUAUCGUGUUAGUUUGUGAUAUCAGCAUAAGGGUGAACCAUCUGGAAAAUUUCUUUUCUUUGAUAUUUGAUAUAUUUCAUUGUGAAUGUAAGCUUUGGAACCAAUAGUAGUUGCCAUAAGUUACGUCAAUAAAAUCCUCUAAUUUUUUUACUUUGAG
RNAcentral lists this long non-coding RNA (230 nucleotides) under Trifolium pratense (red clover). RNAcentral's name for it is "long non-coding RNA (TPRA_LNC012757)". Lineage: Eukaryota; Viridiplantae; Streptophyta; Magnoliopsida; Fabales; Fabaceae. The record is from RNAcentral.